UCUGCGGGAAGGGUCAUUGAAUCGAUCGAAUCCACCCUGGCAACUACCCCGUCCCCUCGCGCGGUCCCCACCUGGCCAUCCCCGGCCGGUGGGGGCAGCGAGCGCCGUGUUCCUUGGCGGGGCUCUCCGGAGCGCCGCCUGGGUCCGGCGGGCGUCCCUCCACAUGCGCGGCCUCGGUCGCCUUGGGAGGAGAAGCGCUGGCAAAUCCUUGUAUCCAACCCCAAUUUCACUCCAAACCUGAACGUCAGCUGAAGCACCUUGCGCCCCGAGCAUGCCUCGGCCGCAAUCAAAACCAACGACAACUCUCAACAACGGAUAUCUUGGCUCCCGUAUCGAUGAAGAACGCAGCGAAAUGCGAUACGUAGUGUGAAUUGCAGAAUUCCGUGAACCAUCGAAUCUUUGAACGCAACUUGCGCCCAAGGCUUCGGCCGAGGGCAUGCCUGCCUCAGCGUCGGCUCACACCUCUCAUCCUGCCACCUCUUCCAGGAGAGCGUGCGGGAGAGGAGAUGGCUCUCCCGGCUCCGAGCGCUCCCUUCGUUGGGAUGUUGCUGCCCGGGUCUGCUGAAGCGUAGAGGCUUGAACAUGGACCCCGUUUGCAGGGUGAUGGCUUGGUAGGUAGGUGCUUCCCUACGCAGCCUGCCGUCGCCCAAGGGGACUUUGUUGGGGGCCUAGCAGGAAAUCGGUGCGCGUCCGCGAGACCCCCCGAAACCAUCCUCACUUCGACCUGAGCUCAGGCAAGCCUUACCCGCUG
RNAcentral lists this ribosomal RNA (751 nucleotides) under Chlorella sorokiniana. Its description in RNAcentral is "eukaryotic LSU rRNA". The stretch from base 301 to 454 matches the Rfam family "5.8S ribosomal RNA". The record is from RNAcentral. Lineage: Eukaryota; Viridiplantae; Chlorophyta; Trebouxiophyceae; Chlorellales; Chlorellaceae.